Molecule: ribosomal RNA, 253 nt
Filed under: uncultured bacterium
Lineage: Bacteria
Description: partial 16S ribosomal RNA
Rfam family: Bacterial small subunit ribosomal RNA
Source: RNAcentral
UACGGGGGGGGCAAGCGUUGUUCGGAAUUACUGGGCGUAAAGAGCUCGUAGGCGGCUUGUCACGUCGAUUGUGAAAGCCCGAGGCUUAACCUCGGGUCUGCAGUCGAUACGGGCUAGCUAGAGUGUGGUAGGGGAGAUCGGAAUUCCUGGUGUAGCGGUGAAAUGCGCAGAUAUCAGGAGGAACACCGGUGGCGAAGGCGGCAUCCUGGACCGGCAUUGACGCUGAGGCGCGAAAGCCAGGGGAGCAAACGGG